Molecule: non-coding RNA, 45 nt
Filed under: Schistosoma curassoni
Lineage: Eukaryota; Metazoa; Platyhelminthes; Trematoda; Strigeidida; Schistosomatidae
Source: RNAcentral
AUCCAGUUGACUAGUCCUAAAUAGGACGAAACACACAUCCUGGAU